RNAcentral lists this ribosomal RNA (2001 nucleotides) under human gut metagenome. RNAcentral's name for it is "bacterial LSU rRNA". It matches the Rfam family "Bacterial large subunit ribosomal RNA", at positions 1 to 1989 of the family's 2925-position model. The record is from RNAcentral.
GGAGUCGAACAAGGGCGUAUGGAGGAUGCCUGGGCUCUCGGAGGCGAAGAAGGACGUGACAAGCUGCGAAAAGCCGCGGCGAGGGGCAAAUACCCAUUGACCCGCGGAUGUCCGAAUGGGGCAACCCGGCGGAAGCGAUUCCGUCAUCCGUGCGAAGUACGGAAGCGAACGCGGAGAACUGAAACAUCUUAGUACCCGCAGGAAGAGAAAGUAAACACGAUUCCCCCAGUAGAGGCGAUCGAACGGGGAAUAGCCCAAACCGGCGCCGUGAGCGAUUGCGGGUGCCGGGGUUAUAGGACCGCCCGGGAAAGCGGUAUGACAGGAUAGCGGAACCGGCUGGAAUGCCGGGCCGGAGAGGGUGAGAGCCCCGUAGGCGAAAUCCGGGUCAUACGGUGAGGGCGGCACCUGAGUAGGCCGGAGCACGAGGAAUUCCGGUUGAAUUAUCGGGGACCAUCCCGAAAGGCUAAAUACUACCGAGAGACCGAUAGCGGACGAGUACCGUGAGGGAAAGGUGAAAAGCACCUCGAACAGAGGAGUGAAAUAGACCCUGAAACCAUACGCCUACAAGCGGUCGGAGCCAUUAAGUAUGGUGACGGCGUGCCUUUUGCAUAAUGAACCUGCGAGUUGCCGUCGACGGCGAGGCUAAGGGCUUAAGGUCCGGAGCCGGAGCGAAAGCGAGUCCGAACAGGGCGAGGUCAGUCGUCGGAGGCAGACGCGAAACCGAGUGAUCUACGCAUGGGCAGGAUGAAGGACAGGUAACACUGUCUGGAGGUCCGCACCGGUAAGCGUUGAAAAGCUUUCGGAUGACCUGUGCGUAGGAGUGAAAGGCCAAUCAAACUCGGAGAUAGCUCGUACUCCCCGAAAUGCAUUUAGGUGCAGCCUCGGGCCCAGUACCGCGGAGGUAGAGCGACCGAUAGGAUGCGAGGGCUUCGCCGCCUAUCAAGUCCUGACGAACUCCGAAUGCCGCGGUAUGCUACCCGGGAGUGAGGGCGCGGGUGCUAAGGUCCGCGUCCGAAAGAGGAACAACUCAGACCACCGUCUAAGGCCCCGAAAUCCGGGCUAAGUUGAAGGCAAUAACGAGGUGGGGCCGCAGAGACAGCUAGGAUGUUGGCUUGGAAGCAGCCAUUCAUUCAAAGAGUGCGUAACAGCUCACUAGUCGAGUGGCCCCGCAUGGAUAAUAAUCGGGCAUAAGUCCGGUGCCGAAGACGUGGAAUCGAUCAGAUUUGAUUGAUUGGUAGGGGAGCAUUCCGCCACCGGCGAAGGCAGACCGCGAGAUCUGCUGGAGGAGGCGGAAAAGCAAAUGCAGGUAUAAGUAACGACAAAGGGGGCGGGAAACCCCCUCGCCGGAAGACCAAGGGUUCCUGAACAACGCUAAUCGGUUCAGGGUAAGUCGGGACCUAACGUCAGCCCUGAGGGCAGGAUGGAUGGACAUGCGGUCAAUAUUCCGCAACCUCUGUCAGGCGAGUGUCAGCGGAGACGGAGAAGCGAAACGCCCGCGCACCGACGGAAUGGUGCGUUGAAGGGAGGUAGCCUUAAUGGCACGGGGGAAACGUGUCAGGCGAGCCCCGAAAGUACGGACUGGUGCAUGCAUCGGUCUGACAGCGGCGGAGGAGCAGGCUCCCGAGAAAAUCCGCGCGGCGCGUCCGAGUCUGGCAGGGCCCGUACCGAAAACCGACACAGGUGGUCGGGUAGAGAAUACCAAGGCGCUCGAGAGAUUCACGGUUAAGGAACUAGGCAAACUGGCCCCGUAACUUCGGAAUAAGGGGCCCUCCCGUCGAGACGCGGGAGGCGCAGAGAAUAGGUCCAGGCAACUGUUUAGCAAAAACACAGGGCUGUGCGAAGCCGCAAGGCGCAGUAUACAGUCUGACACCUGCCCGGUGCCGGAAGGUUAAGCGGAGCUGUCAGAGCAAUCGAAGCAGUGAAGUGAAGCCCCGGUAAACGGCGGCCGUAACUAUAACGGUCCUAAGGUAGCGAAAUUCCUUGUCGGGUAAGUUCCGACCU